GCAUUAGUGGUGUAAUGGUUAACAUGCGGUCUUCCCAUGGCCGCGUUCGGGGUUCGAUUCCCCGCUAAUGCA
Molecule: non-coding RNA, 72 nt
Organism: Mucidula mucida
Lineage: Eukaryota; Fungi; Basidiomycota; Agaricomycetes; Agaricales; Physalacriaceae
Source: the annotation of a GenBank genome assembly